GGAUAUAGCUCAGUUGGUAGAGAGAUUGCCUUGUAUGCGCAGGCCCUGGGUUCAAUCCCCAGCACCA
This 67-nucleotide transfer RNA is filed under the name Marmota monax (woodchuck). Its description in RNAcentral is "tRNA.Thr". Lineage: Eukaryota; Metazoa; Chordata; Mammalia; Rodentia; Sciuridae. The record is from RNAcentral.